This 72-nucleotide transfer RNA is filed under the name Ovis aries (sheep). It matches the Rfam family "tRNA". Rfam says of the family: Transfer RNA (tRNA) molecules are approximately 80 nucleotides in length. Lineage: Eukaryota; Metazoa; Chordata; Mammalia; Artiodactyla; Bovidae. The record is from Rfam by way of RNAcentral.
UCCCUCAUAGCUUGUUUGGUAAAGAAUCUGCCUGCAAUUCAGGAGACCCCGGUUUGAUUCCUGGUUUGGGAA